GCAGGGUACGUUUCGGAUUCUGGGCGUAAGCGCGCGUAGGUGGUUAAUUAAGUCAAAUGUGAAAUCCCCGAGCUUAACUUGGGAAUUGCAUUCGAUACUGGUUAGCUAGAGUAUGGGAGAGGAUGGUAGAAUUCCAGGUGUAGCGGUGAAAUGCGUAGAGAUCUGGAGGAAUACCGAUGGCGAAGGCAGCCAUCUGGCCUAAUACUGACACUGAGGUGCGAAAGCAUGGGGAGCAAACAGGAUUAGAUACCCUGGUAGUCCAUGCCGUAAACGAUGUCUACUAGCCGUUGGGGGAUUUGAUCCUUUAGUGGCGCAGCUAACGCGAUAAGUAGACCGCCUGGGGAGUACGGUCGCAAGACUAAAACUCAAAUGAAUUGACGGGGGCCCGCACAAGCGGUGGAGCAUGUGGUUUAAUUCGAUGCAACGCGAAGAACCUUACCUGGCCUUGACAUAGUAGAGACUUUCCAGAGAUGGAGAGGUGCCUUCGGGAAUCUACAUACAGGUGCUGCAUGGCUGUCGUCAGCUCGUGUCGUGAGAUGUUGGGUUAAGUCCCGCAACGAGCGCAACCCUUUUCCUUACUUGCCAGCAUUUCGGAUGGGAACUUUAAGGAUACUGCCAGUGACAAACUGGAGGAAGGCGGGGACGACGUCAAGUCAUCAUGGCCCUUACGGCCAGGGCUACACACGUGCUACAAUGGUCGGUACAAAGGGUUGCUACACAGCGAUGUGAUGCUAAUCUCAAAAAGCCGAUCGUAGUCCGGAUCGCAGUCUGCAACUCGACUGCGUGAAGUCGGAAUCGCUAGUAAUCGCGGAUCAGAAUGCCGCGGUGAAUACGUUCCCGGGCCUUGUACACACCGCCCGUCACACCAUGGGAGUUUGUUGCACCAGAAGUAGUAGUCUAACCGCAAGGAGGACGCUUACCACGGUGUGGCCGAUGACUGGGGUGAGCUCGGUACCAAAAAAAAAAAAAAAAAAAA
RNAcentral lists this ribosomal RNA (976 nucleotides) under Acinetobacter sp. NF103. RNAcentral describes it as "bacterial SSU rRNA". It matches the Rfam family "Bacterial small subunit ribosomal RNA", at positions 527 to 1533 of the family's 1533-position model. The record is from RNAcentral. Lineage: Bacteria; Pseudomonadati; Pseudomonadota; Gammaproteobacteria; Moraxellales; Moraxellaceae.